CUUUUUCGUAUAUUCGUACAUGCAUUUCCCCACAUCCUCUUCCCCUGAACCAAAAAACAUACACAUUCCCUCUCUAUGACUUCUCAGAUCUUCACCAGCAGCCACCGUCGCCGGAAUACUCAUCAUCACCACCACCACCACCACAUCACAGGCGUCUGUUAGAUCCGCCGGCAACCAUGUCAUGGAAACCCAAAUCGCCGUAAAACCCCCAGAACCAGCAGAUGCACCGCCUUGAAAUAUGGGCACUAAGAUGAGUAUUAUUUCAAUCUUAUUAAUUUAUGUUCAUAGUUUGUAUAUGAUUGAUUCACUUUGGAUUGUAACGGAGCUUUUUGAGUAUUGUUGUAUUGUUGUUCUUACACUGGCAGCAAUAGCAAAGGAUCUUCAAGAAUACAAAGUAGCACCCAUGCAUUGAAAUGCAUCAACCAAAUAUGGCUGGAUUGGUCAACUUGAAUGCUCAUACAAAGAUAUAGGUACAAAUUGGUAAGGUGUAGGUGUUUAUAGCGGUAAAUAAUAAAAAUGGAGUAGCAAGGGGAUUACUGGUAGAUGAAGGUAUUGGGAGUUUGGGUGUUGAGAAGGAUUACAUGCAUGAAGCAAGAUAUUUGUAGUAAUAGGUUGGAGAGAGAGCCCAAUUAUCCAUGUUUAUUGUUUUUCUGUGGGUGUUUAUGUGUAAAGUUUUGGUAGAAACCAGAUUUAAUGUUCUUUUGAGUUCAGAACAUUGGAAGUAACUUUACAAAAAAUAUGAAUUCUCAUAUUUAAUGUUUUUGUGGUU
Molecule: long non-coding RNA, 769 nt
Organism: Erigeron canadensis
Lineage: Eukaryota; Viridiplantae; Streptophyta; Magnoliopsida; Asterales; Asteraceae
Exons: 5
Source: RefSeq, a predicted model, not a curated record